RNAcentral lists this ribosomal RNA (326 nucleotides) under uncultured bacterium. RNAcentral describes it as "bacterial SSU rRNA". It matches the Rfam family "Bacterial small subunit ribosomal RNA", at positions 28 to 334 of the family's 1533-position model. The record is from RNAcentral.
GAUGAACGCUGGCGGCGUGCUUAACACAUGCAAGUCGAGCGAAGCGCUUAAGUUUGAUUCUUCGGAUGAAGACUUUUGUGACUGAGCGGGCGACGGGUGAAGGUAACGCGUGGGUAACCUGCCUCAUACAGGGGGAUAACAGUUAGAAAUGACUGCUAAUACCGCAUAAGACCACAGGGUCGCAUGACCCGGUGGUAAAAACUCCGGUGGUAUGAGAUGGACCCGCGUCUGAUUAGCUAGUUGGUGAGGUAAAGGCCCACCAAGGCGACGAUCAGUAGCCGACCUGAGAGGGUGAUCGGCCACAUUGGGACUGAGACACGGCCCAA